GGGUUGUGAGGUUAAGCGACUAAGCGUACACGGUGGAUGCCCUGGCAGUCAGAGGCGAUGAAGGACGUGCUAAUCUGCGAUAAGCGCCGGUAAGGUGAUAUGAACCGUUAUAACCGGCGAUUUCCGAAUGGGGAAACCCAGUGUGAUUCGUCACACUAUCAUUAACUGAAUCCAUAGGUUAAUGAGGCGAACCGGGGGAACUGAAACAUCUAAGUACCCCGAGGAAAAGAAAUCAACCGAGAUUCCCCCAGUAGCGGCGAGCGAACGGGGAGGAGCCCAGAGCCUGAAUCAGCAUGUGUGUUAGUGGAAGCGUCUGGAAAGGCGCGCGAUACAGGGUGACAGCCCCGUACACAAAAGCGCAUGUGCUGUGAGCUCGAUGAGUAGGGCGGGACACGUGGUAUCCUGUCUGAAUAUGGGGGGACCAUCCUCCAAGGCUAAAUACUCCUGACUGACCGAUAGUGAACCAGUACCGUGAGGGAAAGGCGAAAAGAACCCCGGCGAGGGGUGAAAAGAACCUGAAACCGUGUACGUACAAGCAGUGGGAGCACCCUUCGGGUGUGACUGCGUACCUUUGUAUAAUGGGUCAGCGACUUAUAUUCUGUAGCAAGGUUAACCGUAUAGGGGAGCCGGAGGGAAACCGAGUCUUAAUUGGGCGUUAAGUUGCAGGGUAUAGACCCGAAACCCGGUGAUCUAGCCAUGGGCAGGUUGAAGGUUGGGUAACACUAACUGGAGGACCGAACCGACUAAUGUUGAAAAAUUAGCGGAUGACCUGUGGCUGGGGGUGAAAGGCCAAUCAAACCGGGAGAUAGCUGGUUCUCCCCGAAAGCUAUUUAGGUAGCGCCUCGUGAAUUCAUCUCCGGGGGUAGAGCACUGUUUCGGCUAGGGGGCCAUCCCGGCUUACCAACCCGAUGCAAACUGCGAAUACCGGAGAAUGUUAUCACGGGAGACACACGGCGGGUGCUAACGUCCGUCGUGAAGAGGGAAACAACCCAGACCGCCAGCUAAGGUCCCAAAGUCAUGGUUAAGUGGGAAACGAUGUGGGAAGGCCCAGACAGCCAGGAUGUUGGCUUAGAAGCAGCCAUCAUUUAAAGAAAGCGUAAUAGCUCACUGGUCGAGUCGGCCUGCGCGGAAGAUGUAACGGGCUAAACCAUGCACCGAAGUUGGCAGCGAACGUAUCACCCAAGACAACUUUACGGAGUUGACGAUUGACGGAGCGAAGCGACGUCAAAGCGUUCAUUAAAGUCGAGUUGGCUUAGGGAUACGUUCGUUGGGUAGGGGAGCGUUCUGUAAGCCUGUGAAGGUGUGUCGUGAGGCAUGCUGGAGGUAUCAGAAGUGCGAAUGCUGACAUAAGUAACGAUAAAGCGGGUGAAAAGCCCGCUCGCCGGAAGACCAAGGGUUCCUGUCCAACGUUAAUCGGGGCAGGGUGAGUCGACCCCUAAGGCGAGGCCGAAAGGCGUAGUCGAUGGGAAACGGGUUAAUAUUCCCGUACUUGGUGUUACUGCGAAGGGGGGACGGAGAAGGCUAUGUUGGCCGGGCGACGGUUGUCCCGGUUUAAGCGUGUAGGUGUGUGUUCCAGGUAAAUCCGGUUCACUUUAACACUGAGGCGUGACGACGAGGCACUACGGUGCUGAAGCAACAAAUGCCCUGCUUCCAGGAAAAGCCUCUAAGCAUCAGGUAACAUCAAAUCGUACCCCAAACCGACACAGGUGGUCAGGUAGAGAAUACCAAGGCGCUUGAGAGAACUCGGGUGAAGGAACUAGGCAAAAUGGUGCCGUAACUUCGGGAGAAGGCACGCUGACACGUAGGUGAAGUGAUUUACUCAUGGAGCUGAAGUCAGUCGAAGAUACCAGCUGGCUGCAACUGUUUAUUAAAAACACAGCACUGUGCAAACACGAAAGUGGACGUAUACGGUGUGACGCCUGCCCGGUGCCGGAAGGUUAAUUGAUGGGGUCAGCGCAAGCGAAGCUCCUGAUCGAAGCCCCGGUAAACGGCGGCCGUAACUAUAACGGUCCUAAGGUAGCGAAAUUCCUUGUCGGGUAAGUUCCGACCUGCACGAAUGGCGUAAUGAUGGCCAGGCUGUCUCCACCCGAGACUCAGUGAAAUUGAACUCGCUGUGAAGAUGCAGUGUACCCGCGGCAAGACGGAAAGACCCCGUGAACCUUUACUAUAGCUUGACACUGAACAUUGAGCCUUGAUGUGUAGGAUAGGUGGGAGGCUUUGAAGUGUGGACGCCAGUCUGCAUGGAGCCGACCUUGAAAUACCACCCUUUAAUGUUUGAUGUUCUAACGUGGACCCGUUACCCGGGUUGCGGACAGUGUCUGGUGGGUAGUUUGACUGGGGCGGUCUCCUCCUAAAGAGUAACGGAGGAGCACGAAGGUUGGCUAAUCCUGGUCGGACAUCAGGAGGUUAGUGCAAUGGCAUAAGCCAGCUUGACUGCGAGCGUGACGGCGCGAGCAGGUGCGAAAGCAGGUCAUAGUGAUCCGGUGGUUCUGAAUGGAAGGGCCAUCGCUCAACGGAUAAAAGGUACUCCGGGGAUAACAGGCUGAUACCGCCCAAGAGUUCAUAUCGACGGCGGUGUUUGGCACCUCGAUGUCGGCUCAUCACAUCCUGGGGCUGAAGUAGGUCCCAAGGGUAUGGCUGUUCGCCAUUUAAAGUGGUACGCGAGCUGGGUUUAGAACGUCGUGAGACAGUUCGGUCCCUAUCUGCCGUGGGCGCUGGAGAACUGAGGGGGGCUGCUCCUAGUACGAGAGGACCGGAGUGGACGCAUCACUGGUGUUCGGGUUGUCAUGCCAAUGGCACUGCCCGGUAGCUAAAUGCGGAAGAGAUAAGUGCUGAAAGCAUCUAAGCACGAAACUUGCCCCGAGAUGAGUUCUCCCUGAGACUUAGAGUCUCCUGAAGGAACGUUGAAGACGACGACGUUGAUAGGCCGGGUGUGUAAGCGCAGCGAUGCGUUGAGCUAACCGGUACUAAUGAACCGUGAGGCUUAACCUUACAACGCCGAAG
This 3003-nucleotide ribosomal RNA is filed under the name Salmonella enterica subsp. enterica serovar Typhimurium. RNAcentral describes it as "23S ribosomal RNA". It matches the Rfam family "Bacterial large subunit ribosomal RNA". The record is from RNAcentral. Lineage: Bacteria; Pseudomonadati; Pseudomonadota; Gammaproteobacteria; Enterobacterales; Enterobacteriaceae.